AGGACGAACGCUGGCGGCGUGCUUAACACAUGCAAGUCGAGCGAGGCCCUUCCUUCGGGAAGGUGCCCUAGCGGCGAACGGGUGAGUAACACGUGGGCAACCUGCCCCUAGCACUGGGAUAACUCCGGGAAACCGGGGCUAACACCGGAUACGACCUCAGAGGGCAUCCUUCGAGGUGGAAAAAUUCAUUGGCUAGGGAUGGGCCCGCGGCCUAUCAGCUUGUUGGUGGGGUAAUGGCCCACCAAGGCGACGACGGGUA
RNAcentral lists this ribosomal RNA (259 nucleotides) under uncultured bacterium. RNAcentral's name for it is "partial small subunit ribosomal RNA". It matches the Rfam family "Bacterial small subunit ribosomal RNA", at positions 26 to 285 of the family's 1533-position model. The record is from RNAcentral.